Molecule: ribosomal RNA, 253 nt
Filed under: uncultured bacterium
Lineage: Bacteria
Description: partial 16S ribosomal RNA
Rfam family: Bacterial small subunit ribosomal RNA
Source: RNAcentral
GACGAACCGUCCGAACGUUAUUCGGAAUCACUGGGCUUAAAGGGUGCGUAGGCGGCGCAGUAAGUAGGGUGUGAAAUCCCUCGGCUUAACCGAGGAACUGCGCCCUAAACUACUGUGCUCGAGGGAGAUAGAGGUGAGCGGAACUUAGGGUGGAGCGGUGAAAUGCGCAGAUAUCAGGAAGAACACCUAUGGCGAAGGCAGCACUCUGGGACGGUACUGACGCUGAGACGCGAAAGCGUGGGGAGCGAACAGG